ACAACGAAGAGUUUGAUCCUGGCUCAGGAUGAACGCUAGCGACAGGCUUAACACAUGCAAGUCGAGGGGCAGCACAGGUAGCAAUACCGGGUGGCGACCGGCGCACGGGUGAGUAACGCGUAUGCAACUUGCCUAUCAGAGGGGGAUAACCCGGCGAAAGUCGGACUAAUACCGCAUGAAGCAGGGGCCCCGCAUGGGGAUAUUUGCUAAAGAUUCAUCGCUGAUAGAUAGGCAUGCGUUCCAUUAGGCAGUUGGCGGGGUAACGGCCCACCAAACCGACGAUGGAUAGGGGUUCUGAGAGGAAGGUCCCCCACAUUGGUACUGAGACACGGACCAAACUCCUACGGGAGGCAGCAGUGAGGAAUAUUGGUCAAUGGGCGUAAGCCUGAACCAGCCAAGUCGCGUGAGGGAUGAAGGUUCUAUGGAUCGUAAACCUCUUUUAUAAGGGAAUAAAGUGCGGGACGUGUCCCGUUUUGUAUGUACCUUAUGAAUAAGGAUCGGCUAACUCCGUGCCAGCAGCCGCGGUAAUACGGAGGAUCCGAGCGUUAUCCGGAUUUAUUGGGUUUAAAGGGUGCGUAGGCGGCCUUUUAAGUCAGCGGUGAAAGUCUGUGGCUCAACCAUAGAAUUGCCGUUGAAACUGGGAGGCUUGAGUAUGUUUGAGGCAGGCGGAAUGCGUGGUGUAGCGGUGAAAUGCUUAGAUAUCACGCAGAACCCCGAUUGCGAAGGCAGCCUGCCAAGCCAUUACUGACGCUGAUGCACGAAAGCGUGGGGAUCAAACAGGAUUAGAUACCCUGGUAGUCCACGCAGUAAACGAUGAUCACUAGCUGUUUGCGAUACACUGUAAGCGGCACAGCGAAAGCGUUAAGUGAUCCACCUGGGGAGUACGCCGGCAACGGUGAAACUCAAAGGAAUUGACGGGGGCCCGCACAAGCGGAGGAACAUGUGGUUUAAUUCGAUGAUACGCGAGGAACCUUACCCGGGUUUGAACGCAUUUUGACAGCUCUGGAAACAGAGCCUCUAGCAAUAGCGAUUUGCGAGGUGCUGCAUGGUUGUCGUCAGCUCGUGCCGUGAGGUGUCGGCUUAAGUGCCAUAACGAGCGCAACCCUUGCCACUAGUUACUAACAGGUAAAGCUGAGGACUCUGGUGGGACUGCCAGCGUAAGCUGCGAGGAAGGCGGGGAUGACGUCAAAUCAGCACGGCCCUUACAUCCGGGGCGACACACGUGUUACAAUGGCGUGGACAAAGGGAGGCCACCUGGCGACAGGGAGCGAAUCCCCAAACCACGUCUCAGUUCGGAUCGGAGUCUGCAACCCGACUCCGUGAAGCUGGAUUCGCUAGUAAUCGCGCAUCAGCCAUGGCGCGGUGAAUACGUUCCCGGGCCUUGUACACACCGCCCGUCAAGCCAUGGGAGCCGGGGGUACCUGAAGUCCGUAACCGAAAGGAUCGGCCUAGGGUAAAACUGGUGACUGGGGCUAAGUCGUAACAAGGUAGCCGUACCGGAAGGUGCGGCUGGAACACCUCCUUU
Molecule: ribosomal RNA, 1525 nt
Filed under: Parabacteroides distasonis
Lineage: Bacteria; Pseudomonadati; Bacteroidota; Bacteroidia; Bacteroidales; Tannerellaceae
Description: bacterial SSU rRNA
Rfam family: Bacterial small subunit ribosomal RNA
Source: RNAcentral